RNA transcript from Lagenorhynchus albirostris (white-beaked dolphin), 3403 nucleotides. It is a transcript of the gene named guanylate-binding protein 6-like, with no coding region annotated. NCBI's taxonomy places the organism in Eukaryota, Metazoa, Chordata, Mammalia, Artiodactyla, Delphinidae. The transcript has 4 exons. The record is from RefSeq and is a predicted model, not a curated record.
CUGAGAGAGCACAAUAUGACGUUGGAGCAUAAGCUGAAGGUCCAGGAAGCUCUGCUUAAAGAAGGAUUUAGAAAGAAAUCUGAGGAGAUGAAUGCAGAGAUAAAUCGUUUGAAAAAUAUGAUUGAUAAUACUAAAGAUGAUGAUACUCCCUGGCUGGCAGUAGCCUUGGACAAAUUUGGCAAAAAGAUCUCUUCACUAUUGUGCGCUCCAGUCAAACUUCUUGGUCAUAUUGUGAGUGGUGUGAGCUCCCUAUUUAAAAUGAAGUAGCUCUUCUUUUAAAGAAAUUAUAGAUACACAAUAUAUGUACAUGCUCUGGCCUAUGUUUGGUGUGAAUGCUUUUCACUUGCAUUCAGCAAAUCUUUAAAUAUAAAAAGUGGUUACUAGAAAAUAUCAAUGCCUGGCCCACAUUAGAUAGAAUAAAUGCACUUUGAUAUAGCAUGUUCACUUUUAGGAAAUAUAUGUGUGCAAAAUCAUAUAUAUGUAUAUAUACAUACAUACAUACAAGAGGCCCGUUGAGGCAUCCCUUUUAAUGGCAAAAGAUUGGAAACUACUUAAAUGUCCAUCUAUAUAAACUGGUAAUAUACAUUUUCCAUGUACAUAUACUGGAAUACUAUGUAGCCAGUAAAAAAAUUGAUAGUGGAGGUUUAUAUGUAUAAAUAUAGAACAACCUUGAAGAUAUAUAGUAGAGUGAAAAAAAUGAGGUACAAAACAGUUUGUAUAAUCUGUUCACCAUAAAAAAUGCAAUUAUUAUGUGCACUCAUAUAUAUGUACACAUAGAACGCCUCUGGAAGAUUCAUUAGAAAGUGGUAUCAUUGGUUCCUUCUGGGGAGAACAGCUUGGCAUUCGUGAUGGAAGGGACACACACUUUUCAUUAUAUCCUCUAUCUUCUCAAUUCUGUAAAGAAAGCUUGUAUUAUCAUUUCUCAAAUGACAAAGAAAACAUAAAGUAUAAUACUAAAAAUGAUAAUAAAUGGAAUGUGAAAUUGACUAUUAGAUGAUGAAAUUGCUCAUUGCUUCUAGAAAUGACAUCAGUCUGUUCAAUGAGUUGGAUCAGAAUACUAGAAAGCAUAAAAUUUGCAUCCUAAUCUUGUUUUCACUUUGGCUGUGUUUUUAAUCCCUUAUAUUUCUUCAAAAAGAAGGUAUAAACUUUCCUGUUACCCCUUGAAAUCUCAGCUAGAGGAGAAUGCAGCUGACAUAUUUUGAACUGUUAUUGCCUAUAGCCAUAAUGCUAAGCUCUUUCGCUAGACUCUUUAAUCCUUCAAAUAACAUUAAGAAGCAUCUACGCUUAUUGUCAACAUUUUAAAGAUCUGAACGGAGAGGCUUAGCAAGUUAAACGAACUUGCCUAAAGUUACAGACAGCAAGUAGCAGAGGAAAACAGCAGCACAUUUUAGAGGCAGUAUUUCACAUUGGGAAGAGCAAUAUAGGAAAGCACCAGACAUCCUGGGUUUGUAGAACUGAACAUAGUUCUGACUGGCUGGAAUCUGGAGUGGGUAGAAGGAAGUAGCACGGGGCUAGAUACUGGAGGAAGACAGGUCGCUGUAAGGAGCUUAGGCUUGUUGUAGUGAACCACUGUAGAAUUUUAAACAUGAAGCAAAAAUUACAUGGACAUACUUGUUUUUGCAGCACUAAUCUCCUCAAUGGAAUUUUAAGUUCUGUGCUCCUUCUUGGUUCCUCAGGCAAACGAAGUCCUCCAGAACUUUCUGCUGUCACAGGUGGCAAUAGAGAAAUCCAUCCUGCAGGCAGAUAAAGCCCUCAGUGAUGGGGAGAAGGCUGUAGCAGAGGAGCAGGCCAGGAGGGAGACAGCUGAGAGGGAACAGGAGCUGCUGAAACACAAACUGCAGGAGCUGGAGCAGCAGACGGAAGCACGACAGAGGAGUCUCCAGGAAAACAUAGCCCAGCUGACAGAGAAGCUGGCGAGGAGAAGAGAAAAGCUACUGAGAGAGCACAAUAUGACGUUGGAGCAUAAGCUGAAGGUCCAGGAAGCUCUGCUUAAAGAAGGAUUUAGAAAGAAAUCUGAGGAGAUGAAUGCAGAGAUAAAUCGUUUGAAAAAUAUGAUUGAUAAUACUAAAGAUGAUGAUACUCCCUGGCUGGCAGUAGCCUUGGACAAAUUUGGCAAAAAGAUCUCUUCACUAUUGUGCGCUCCAGUCAAACUUCUUGGUCAUAUUGUGAGUGGUGUGAGCUCCCUAUUUAAAAUGAAGUAGCUCUUCUUUUAAAGAAAUUAUAGAUACACAAUAUAUGUACAUGCUCUGGCCUAUGUUUGGUGUGAAUGCUUUUCACUUGCAUUCAGCAAAUCUUUAAAUAUAAAAAGUGGUUACUAGAAAAUAUCAAUGCCUGGCCCACAUUAGAUAGAAUAAAUGCACUUUGAUAUAGCAUGUUCACUUUUAGGAAAUAUAUGUGUGCAAAAUCAUAUAUAUGUAUAUAUACAUACAUACAUACAAGAGGCCCGUUGAGGCAUCCCUUUUAAUGGCAAAAGAUUGGAAACUACUUAAAUGUCCAUCUAUAUAAACUGGUAAUAUACAUUUUCCAUGUACAUAUACUGGAAUACUAUGUAGCCAGUAAAAAAAUUGAUAGUGGAGGUUUAUAUGUAUAAAUAUAGAACAACCUUGAAGAUAUAUAGUAGAGUGAAAAAAAUGAGGUACAAAACAGUUUGUAUAAUCUGUUCACCAUAAAAAAUGCAAUUAUUAUGUGCACUCAUAUAUAUGUACACAUAGAACGCCUCUGGAAGAUUCAUUAGAAAGUGGUAUCAUUGGUUCCUUCUGGGGAGAACAGCUUGGCAUUCGUGAUGGAAGGGACACACACUUUUCAUUAUAUCCUCUAUCUUCUCAAUUCUGUAAAGAAAGCUUGUAUUAUCAUUUCUCAAAUGACAAAGAAAACAUAAAGUAUAAUACUAAAAAUGAUAAUAAAUGGAAUGUGAAAUUGACUAUUAGAUGAUGAAAUUGCUCAUUGCUUCUAGAAAUGACAUCAGUCUGUUCAAUGAGUUGGAUCAGAAUACUAGAAAGCAUAAAAUUUGCAUCCUAAUCUUGUUUUCACUUUGGCUGUGUUUUUAAUCCCUUAUAUUUCUUCAAAAAGAAGGUAUAAACUUUCCUGUUACCCCUUGAAAUCUCAGCUAGAGGAGAAUGCAGCUGACAUAUUUUGAACUGUUAUUGCCUAUAGCCAUAAUGCUAAGCUCUUUCGCUAGACUCUUUAAUCCUUCAAAUAACAUUAAGAAGCAUCUACGCUUAUUGUCAACAUUUUAAAGAUCUGAACGGAGAGGCUUAGCAAGUUAAACGAACUUGCCUAAAGUUACAGACAGCAAGUAGCAGAGGAAAACAGCAGCACAUUUUAGAGGCAGUAUUUCACAUUGGGAAGAGCAAUAUAGGAAAGCACCAGACAUCCUGGGUUUGUAGAACUGAACAUAGUUCUG